AACCUAGCACACCUGCGGUGUGUACCUGCGGAAGGAUCAUUAACGAGUUAGGGUCCUCUAGGCCCGACCUCCCAACCCUUUGCUUACCGAACCUCUGUUGCUUCGGCGGGCCCGUCUCACGACCGCCGGAGGACCGCCGCAGGGCGUGUCCUCUAGCCCGUGUCCGCCGAUAGCCAACUACAAAACUCUGUAUAAAUCAUGUCUCAUGUCUAAGUCAAAUUGAAUUAAAAGCAAAACUUU
RNAcentral lists this unclassified non-coding RNA (240 nucleotides) under soil metagenome. Its description in RNAcentral is "partial contains 5.8S ribosomal RNA, internal transcribed spacer 2, and large subunit ribosomal RNA". The record is from RNAcentral.